GAUGAACGCUAGCGACAGGCUUAACACAUGCAAGUCGAGGGGCAGCAUAGAAGUAGCAAUACUUUGGUGGCGACCGGCGCACGGGUGAGUAACGCGUAUGCAACCUACCUAUCAGAGGGGAAUAACCCGGCGAAAGUCGGACUAAUACCGCAUAAAACAGGGGCACCGCAUGGUGAUAUUUGUUAAAGAAAUUCGCUGAUAGAUGGGCAUGCGUUCCAUUAGGUAGUUGGUGAGGUAACGGCUCACCAAGCCGACGAUGGAUAGGGGAACUGAGAGGUUGGUCCCCCACACUGGUACUGAGACACGGACCAGACUCCUACGGGAGGCAGCAGUGAGGAAUAUUGGUCAAUGGGCGGGAGCCUGAACCAGCCAAGUCGCGUGAAGGAAGAAGGAUCUAUGGUUCGUAAACUUCUUUUGCAGGGGAAUAAAGUGCGGGACGUGUCCUGUUUUGUAUGUACCCUGAGAAUAAGGAUCGGCUAACUCCGUGCCAGCAGCCGCGGU
Molecule: ribosomal RNA, 501 nt
Filed under: uncultured bacterium
Lineage: Bacteria
Description: bacterial SSU rRNA
Rfam family: Bacterial small subunit ribosomal RNA
Source: RNAcentral